UACGAAGGGGGCUAGCGUUGUCCGGAAUUACUGGGCGUAAAGCGCGCGCAGGCGGUUCUCCAAGUCAGUGGUGAAAGCCCGGAGCUCAACUCCGGAACUGCCAUUGAAACUGUUGAACUUGAGGACGAGAGAGGUGAGUGGAAUUCCCAGUGUAGAGGUGAAAUUCGUAGAUAUUGGGAAGAACACCGGUGGCGAAGGCGGCUCACUGGCUCGUUUCUGACGCUCAGGCGCGACAGCGUGGGGAUCAAACAGG
This 253-nucleotide ribosomal RNA is filed under the name uncultured bacterium. RNAcentral describes it as "partial 16S ribosomal RNA". It matches the Rfam family "Bacterial small subunit ribosomal RNA", at positions 524 to 776 of the family's 1533-position model. The record is from RNAcentral.